CAACAGGGAUUGCCUCAGUAACUGCGAGUGAAGCGGCAGAAGCUCAAAUUUGAAAUCUGGGGCCUCCGCGGCCUCCGAGUUGUAAUUUCACGAUACAUCGUUGACCGAUGGUUCCGUCGUAAGUUCCUUGGAACAGGACGUCACAGAGGGUGAGAAUCCCGUGAAUGAUGGAGCCUGAGGCGUAUAACGUGUAUUCAACGAGUCGAGUUGUUUGGGAAUGCAGCUCAAAAUGGGUGGUAAAUUUCAUCUAAGGCUAAAUAUUGGCGAGAGACCGAUAGCGCACAAGUAGAGUGAUCGAAAGAUGAAAAGCACUUUGAAAAGAGAGUCAAAAAGUACGUGAAAUUGUUGAAAGGGAAGCGCUUGAGACCAGACUCAAUGGGUGGUGAUCAGCGGUGCUUCUGUGCCGUGCACUUUGCCAUCCGUUGGGCCAGCAUCGGUUCCGACGGUGGGACAAAGUCUUGGGGAAUGUAGCUCCCUUUGGGGAGUGUUAUAGCCCCUUGAGCAAUGCCAUCAGCCGGGACCGAGGACCGCGCCCAGGCUAGGAUGCUGGCAUAAUGGUCUUCAGCGACCCGUCUUGAAACACGGACCAAGGAGUCUAACAUCUAUGCGAGUGUUCGGGUGGAAAACCCUUGCGCACAAUGAAAGUGAACGGAGGUGGGAACCUUUAGGGUGCACCAUCGACCGAUCCUGAAGUCUUCGGAAGGAUUUGAGUAUGAGCAUAGCUGUUGGGACCCGAAAGAUGGUGAACUAUGCCUGAAUAGGGUGAAGCCAGAGGAAACUCUGGUGGAGGCUCGCAGCGGUUCUGACGUGCAAAUCGAUCGUCAAA
This 826-nucleotide ribosomal RNA is filed under the name Densocarpa shanorii. RNAcentral's name for it is "eukaryotic LSU rRNA". It matches the Rfam family "Eukaryotic large subunit ribosomal RNA", at positions 66 to 909 of the family's 3401-position model. Lineage: Eukaryota; Fungi; Ascomycota; Pezizomycetes; Pezizales; Tarzettaceae. The record is from RNAcentral.